CCUACGGGUGGCAGCAGUGGGGGAUAUUGCACAAUGGGCGCAACCCUGACCCAGCAACGCCGCGUGAGUGAAGAAGGCUUUCGGGUUGUAAAGCUCUUUUAACAGGGAAGAGAAUAAGACGAUAUGUGUAGAAUAAGCCACGGCUAACUACGGGACAGCAGGCGCGGUAAUACGUAGGUGGCGAGCGAUGUCCGGAUUUACUGGGUGUAAGGGGCGUGUAGCCGGGUUGACAAGUCAGAUGUGAAAUCCUGCGGCUUAACCGCAGAACUGCAUUGGAAACUGUUGAUCUUGAGUACGGGAGAGGCAGGCGGAAUUCCUGGUGUAGCGGUGAAAUGCGUAGAUAUUAGGAGGAACACCAGUGGCGAAGGCGGUCUGCUGGACAGAAACUGACGGUGAGGCUCGAAAGCGUGGGGAGCAAACAGGAUUAGAUACCCUUGUAGUC
This 442-nucleotide ribosomal RNA is filed under the name uncultured bacterium. RNAcentral describes it as "partial 16S ribosomal RNA". It matches the Rfam family "Bacterial small subunit ribosomal RNA", at positions 338 to 795 of the family's 1533-position model. The record is from RNAcentral.